This 402-nucleotide ribosomal RNA is filed under the name Verrucomicrobiota bacterium. RNAcentral's name for it is "Verrucomicrobia bacterium partial 16S ribosomal RNA". It matches the Rfam family "Bacterial small subunit ribosomal RNA", at positions 355 to 776 of the family's 1533-position model. The record is from RNAcentral. Lineage: Bacteria; Pseudomonadati; Verrucomicrobiota.
UGGGGAAUUUUGCACAAUGGGGGAAACCCUGAUGCAGCGACGCCGCGUGAUUUAGAAGGCCUUCGGGUUGUAAAAAUCUUUUUUAUGGGAUGAAAAUGACAGUACCAUAAGAAUAAGGUCCGGCCAAAUACGUGCCAGCAGCCGCGGUAAUACGUAUGGACCGAGCGUUGUCCGGAAUCAUUGGGCGUAAAGGGUACGUAGGCGGCCCAGUAAGUUAGAAGUGAAAUAAUAUAGCUCAACUAUAUAAAGCUUUUAAAACUGCUAGGCUUGAGAGAUGGAAGGGAAAGUGGAAUUCCUAGUGUAGCGGUGAAAUGCGCAGAUAUUAGGAAGAAUACCGGUGGCGAAGGCGACUUUCUGGUCAUCAUCUGACGCUGAGGUACGAAAGCGUGGGUAGCAAACAGG